CCCUUAGAUGUUCUGGGAUGCACGCGCGUUACACUGAUUCGUUCAACGAGUUUAUGACCUUGCCUGAUGAGGUGGGGGAAUCUUUUCAAAUCGCAUCGUGAUGGGGAUAGAGUAUUGUAACUGUUAGUCUUCAACGAGGAAUUCCUAGUAAGUACGUGUCAUCAGCUCGUACUGAUUAUGUCCCUGCCCUUUGUACACACCGCCCGUCGCUCCUACCGAUUGAGUGCUCAGGUGAAUAGUAUGGACUGCACCAGUGUUCGGUCUCCGAAUGUUGACGCGAGAAAUUCUGUGAAUCUUAUUGCUUAGAGGAAGGAGAAGUCGUAACA
Molecule: ribosomal RNA, 326 nt
Filed under: uncultured eukaryote
Lineage: Eukaryota
Description: partial 18S ribosomal RNA
Rfam family: Eukaryotic small subunit ribosomal RNA
Source: RNAcentral